Molecule: ribosomal RNA, 294 nt
Filed under: uncultured bacterium
Lineage: Bacteria
Description: partial 16S ribosomal RNA
Rfam family: Bacterial small subunit ribosomal RNA
Source: RNAcentral
GAAGUCCUACGGGAGGCAGCAGUCGAGAAUCAUUCACAGUGGGGGAGACCCUGAUGGUGCGACGCCGCGUGGGGGAAUGAAGGUCUUCGGAUUGUAAACCCCUGUCAUGUGGGAGCAAAUUAAAAAGAUAGUACCACAAGAGGAAGAGACGGCUAACUCUGAGCCAGCAGCCGCGGUAAUACAGAGGUCUCAAGCGUUGUUCGGAAUCACUGGGCGUAAAGCGUGCGUAGGCUGUUUCGUAAGUCGUGUGUGAAAGGCGCGGGCUCAACCAGCGGACGGCACCUGACACUGCGA